RNAcentral lists this ribosomal RNA (465 nucleotides) under Vreelandella stevensii. RNAcentral describes it as "partial 16S ribosomal RNA". It matches the Rfam family "Bacterial small subunit ribosomal RNA", at positions 338 to 795 of the family's 1533-position model. The record is from RNAcentral. Lineage: Bacteria; Pseudomonadati; Pseudomonadota; Gammaproteobacteria; Oceanospirillales; Halomonadaceae.
CCUACGGGCGGCAGCAGUGGGGAAUAUUGGACAAUGGGCGAAAGCCUGAUCCAGCCAUGCCGCGUGUGUGAAGAAGGCCUUCGGGUUGUAAAGCACUUUCAGUGGGGAAGAAAGCCUUGGGGCUAAUACCCUCGAGGAAGGACAUCACCCACAGAAGAAGCACCGGCUAACUCCGUGCCAGCAGCCGCGGUAAUACGGAGGGUGCGAGCGUUAAUCGGAAUUACUGGGCGUAAAGCGCGCGUAGGCGGUCUGAUAAGCCGGUUGUGAAAGCCCCGGGCUCAACCUGGGAACGGCAUCCGGAACUGUCAGGCUAGAGUGCAGGAGAGGAGGGUAGAAUUCCCGGUGUAGCGGUGAAAUGCGUAGAGAUCGGGAGGAAUACCAGUGGCGAAGGCGGCCUUCUGGACUGACACUGACGCUGAGGUGCGAAAGCGUGGGUAGCAAACAGGAUUAGAUACCCUGGUAGUC